Passer domesticus (house sparrow) is the source of this 793-nucleotide long non-coding RNA. RefSeq lists it as uncharacterized. The transcript is spliced from 5 exons. The record is from RefSeq and is a predicted model, not a curated record. Lineage: Eukaryota; Metazoa; Chordata; Aves; Passeriformes; Passeridae.
CAGACCCCGCCGGGACUCUCUGCUCCAGACGGAAUUCGCACCCACAAAUAACGGCGCGGAAACUGGAUCUGUCCGUUCAUUUCUCGCCGAGUCCUUUGGGAACGGAACAGAGCAGUCUUCAGGCACAGAAGCCACAAGGGUGCAGAAAUGUGCAAAACAUUGGCUAAACCUCCACCAAAUUCCAGAAGAGCCAGGCUGUGUCAGAGGGUUGCAGAGCUACAGCCUUUGGCUCUGAGUGAAAAUGAUGAAGUGUCAUGAAAUACUCAGCCAAAAAACAGAUGUAGUAAGGCAAGCUGAGCAGCAAAAAAUACAACACAGAUGGUCACGAUAAAUUAAUUGAAGACACAAGGGGGAGAGAUGCAAAAAAAAAUGCCAUGGAGCCUUCAAGCCUCAAUUGCCAGCAGAAGGCAAAACAGAAACCUGAUGGACAAGGCUAAUCUCCUGAAGAGGGAAGGCCGCAGGCACUGCCCUCUCUGAGGACCCAUUUUAGCAGCAGCAAAAUCACUUGUCAGCAAGGGGGACAUGAACAUCCAGUGCGUUGUCAUGGCCUGGCAGCUUGUACCAUCUUCAUUUUGCAAGGACAGUCCUGCACAGAUUCCUGCAGGCAGUGACCAGCUUUCUCUGACAGUCUGAGUGCUUCUGACAGGGAAGGGCUCCCACAGCCCUAAUUCUGGUGGGAAAUGUAACUUCUGGAGUGAGGUACUAGCAGAAGAGAACCUAUGACACUCAAAGCAAAGAGUCUGAUUGCCAUCUUAUCUUUCCCUCCAGCCUCUGGAUGUCUCUGGUUCCUCCU